GACGAACGCUGGCGGCGUGCUUAACACAUGCAAGUCGAACGGAAAGGCCCUUCGGGGUCCUCGAGUGGCGAACGGGUGAGUAACACGUGGGUGAUCUGCCCUGCACUUUGGGAUAAGCCUGGGAAACUGGGUCUAAUACCGAAUAGGACCACGCGCUUCAUGGAGUGUGGUGGAAAGCUUUUGCGGUGUGGGAUGGGCCCGCGGCCUAUCAGCUUGUUGGUGGGGUAAUGGCCUACCAAGGCGACGACGGGUAGCCGGCCUGAGAGGGUGACCGGCCACACUGGGACUGAGAUACGGCCCAGACUCCUACGGGAGGCAGCAGUGGGGAAUAUUGCACAAUGGGCGCAAGCCUGAUGCAGCGACGCCGCGUGAGGGAUGACGGCCUUCGGGUUGUAAACCUCUUUCAAUAGGGACGAAGCGCAAGUGACGGUACCUAUAGAAGAAGCACCGGCCAACUACGUG
Molecule: ribosomal RNA, 462 nt
Filed under: uncultured bacterium
Lineage: Bacteria
Description: partial 16S ribosomal RNA
Rfam family: Bacterial small subunit ribosomal RNA
Source: RNAcentral